AACGUAGGUACCGAGCGUUAUCCGGAUUCACUGGGCGUAAAGCGCGUGCAGGUGGUUUGGUAAGUCGGGCAUGAAAACUCUUGGCUCAACUGAGAGACGCUGUCCGAUACUGCCGGACUUGAGGGCAUAAGAGGGAGGUGGAAUUCCGCAUGUAGUGGUGAAAUGCGUAGAUAUGCGGAGGAACACCAGUGGCGAAGGCGGCCUCCUGGUAUGCUCCUGACACUCAGACGCGAAAGCUAGGGGAGCGAACGGGAUUAGAAACCCUCGUAGUCC
Molecule: ribosomal RNA, 273 nt
Filed under: uncultured bacterium
Lineage: Bacteria
Description: partial 16S ribosomal RNA
Rfam family: Bacterial small subunit ribosomal RNA
Source: RNAcentral